AUUCAAGAAUCUAAUGAGCUCCCUCUGUAGAGCACCACCUUCUUUGGUUCUUCUGUGAGAAGUAGCGCCAAAUCCAGUGGUGACUCCAUAGCUAUCUGUUCCGUUGUUCAUACUAUCCAUGACCCAGUCACUACUCGCCUUAACACCAGCUCUAGCCGACUCUGCAAGCUCCACCUUCACAGAAGAAUCACAGCGGCCGCCGUUGGCAAUAGCU
This 214-nucleotide unclassified non-coding RNA is filed under the name Hevea brasiliensis (rubber tree). The record is from RNAcentral. Lineage: Eukaryota; Viridiplantae; Streptophyta; Magnoliopsida; Malpighiales; Euphorbiaceae.